RNAcentral lists this unclassified non-coding RNA (253 nucleotides) under uncultured fungus. Its description in RNAcentral is "partial contains 5.8S ribosomal RNA, internal transcribed spacer 2, and large subunit ribosomal RNA". The record is from RNAcentral. Lineage: Eukaryota; Fungi.
AACGCACAUUGCGCCCGCCAGCAUUCUGGCGGGCAUGCCUGUUCGAGCGUCAUUUCGACCCCUCAAGCCCCUCCGGCUUGGUGUUGGGGCUCCCUACGUUCGCCGUAGGCCCCGAAUUCUAGUGGCGGGCUCGCCGUAAUCCCGAGCGUAGUAGUGUUACCUCGCUCAGGGCGCGCGGCGGGCGCCGGCCGUGAAAACAAAACCCACACAGAAGGUUGACCUCGGAUCAGGUAGGAAUACCCGCUGAACUUAA